UUGGAGCCAGAUAUUGGAUGUAAUGAGUCAACAGAUGUUAGUGAUAAUGAGGAAGACAAGGAAGAAGAGUUGAAUAAAAAUAAUGCUGGCGAUGGGAUGGAAGAUGACAAUACAAUUACAUGUCAUAAUAAGGAUUCGCAUAACACCAGGACUGGAUGUGAACAUGCGUUAACAAUAAUAACAACUGGUAACCAGGAGGACAACAUGAGAAUUUCAC
Molecule: long non-coding RNA, 217 nt
Organism: Zea mays
Lineage: Eukaryota; Viridiplantae; Streptophyta; Magnoliopsida; Poales; Poaceae
Exons: 4
Source: RefSeq, a predicted model, not a curated record